Molecule: ribosomal RNA, 497 nt
Filed under: uncultured bacterium
Lineage: Bacteria
Description: partial 16S ribosomal RNA
Rfam family: Bacterial small subunit ribosomal RNA
Source: RNAcentral
GAUGAACGCUGGCGGCGUGCCUAAUACAUGCAAGUCGAGCGAACGGACGAGAAGCUUGCUUCUCUGAUGUUAGCGGCGGACGGGUGAGUAACACGUGGAUAACCUACCUAUAAGACUGGGAUAACUUCGGGAAACCGUAGCUAAUACCGGAUAAUAUUUUGAACCGCAUGGUUCAAAAGUGAAAGACGGUCUUGCUGUCACUUAUAGAUGGAUCCGCGCUGCAUUAGCUAGUUGGUAAGGUAACGGCUUACCAAGGCAACGAUGCAUAGCCGACCUGAGAGGGUGAUCGGCCACACUGGAACUGAGACACGGUCCAGACUCCUACGGGAGGCAGCAGUAGGGAAUCUUCCGCAAUGGGCGAAAGCCUGACGGAGCAACGCCGCGUGAGUGAUGAAGGUCUUCGGAUCGUAAAACUCUGUUAUUAGGGAAGAACAUAUGUGUCAGUAACUGUGCACAUCUUGACGGUACCUAAUCAGAAAGCCACGGCUAACUACGUG